This 236-nucleotide long non-coding RNA is filed under the name Bos taurus (domestic cattle). RNAcentral describes it as "long non-coding RNA NONBTAT024023". Lineage: Eukaryota; Metazoa; Chordata; Mammalia; Artiodactyla; Bovidae. The record is from RNAcentral.
CACUAUAGCAUCAGAAACAAACAGAAAGACAAAAAGUAACCUCAAGUGUACAAACUAUUCGACAUUUAGGGCAAACUUGCCAUAGUUAAAUGUAAAGAAGUUGAAAACAAAUCUCUGAAUUUCCUAUCCAUAGUUGCUAUCUUGGUCAGACACAUGGCCUCUGAUACUAGAUAUGAAAAAGAUAUUCUCUUUACCUAGUGCACUCAAUUCACCAGCAACAUAACAAGACGGAAAUG